Molecule: ribosomal RNA, 490 nt
Filed under: uncultured bacterium
Lineage: Bacteria
Description: partial 16S ribosomal RNA
Rfam family: Bacterial small subunit ribosomal RNA
Source: RNAcentral
AUUGAACGCUGGCGGCAGGCCUAACACAUGCAAGUCGAACGGUAACAGGAAGCAGCUUGCUGCUUUGCUGACGAGUGGCGUACGGAUGAGCAAUGUCUGGGAAACUGCCCGAUGGAUGGCGAUAACUACUGGAAACGGUAGCUAAUACCGCAUAACGUCGCAAGACCAAAGAGCGUGACCUUACAGCCUCUCGCCAUCGGAUAUGCCCAGAUGGGAUUAGCUAGUAGGUGGGGUAACGGCUCACCUAGGCGACGAUCCCUAGCUGGUCUGAGAGGAUGACCAGCCACACUGGAACUGAGACACGGUCCAGACUCCUACGGGAGGCAGCAGUGGGGAAUAUUGCACAAUGGGCGCAAGCCUGAUGCAGCCAUGCCGCGUGUAUGAAGAAGGCCUUCGGGUUGUAAAGUACUUUCAGCGGGGAGGAAGGGAGGAAAGUUAAUACCUUUCCUCAUUGACGUUACCCGCAGAAGAAGCACCGGCUAACUCCGUG